GAUGAAGAACGUAGCGAAUUGCGAUAAGUAAUGCGAAUUGCAGAAUUCCAGUGAGUCAUCGAAUCUUUGAACGCACAUUGCGCCCUUUGGUAUUCCGAAGGGCAUGCCUGUUCGAGCGUCAUUAUCACCCCUCAAGCCCUCGGCUUGGUGUUGGACGGUUUGGUGGAGGCCCCCUCGGGGGCUCCUGCCCCUCCCAAAGACAAUGACGGCGGCCUCGUUGGACCCCCGGUACACUGAGUUCUUCACGGGACACGUAUCGGACACAUGGGUUUACGGGACACGGUCUGCCUCCCCUCAGGGAGAAUCUUUCUAAGGUUGACCUCGGAUCAGGUAGGGAUACCCGCUGAACUUAAGCAUAUCAAUAAGCGGAGGA
RNAcentral lists this unclassified non-coding RNA (373 nucleotides) under soil metagenome. RNAcentral's name for it is "partial contains 5.8S ribosomal RNA, internal transcribed spacer 2, and large subunit ribosomal RNA". The stretch from base 1 to 121 matches the Rfam family "5.8S ribosomal RNA", at positions 35 to 154 of the family's 154-position model. The record is from RNAcentral.